GACGAACGCUGGCGGCGUGCUUAACACAUGCAAGUCGAACGGAAAGGCCCUUCGGGGUACUCGAGUGGCGAACGGGUGAGUAACACGUGGGUGAUCUGCCCUGCACUCUGGGAUAAGCCUGGGAAACUGGGUCUAAUACCGGAUAGGACCGCAUGCUUCAUGGUGUGUGGUGCAAAGCUUUUGCGGUGUGGGAUGAGCCCGCGGCCUAUCAGCUUGUUGGUGGGGUAAUGGCCUACCAAGGCGACGACGGGUAGCCGGCCUGAGAGGGUGACCGGCCACACUGGGACUGAGAUACGGCCCAGACUCCUACGGGAGGCAGCAGUGGGGAAUAUUGCACAAUGGGCGCAAGCCUGAUGCAGCGACGCCGCGUGAGGGAUGACGGCCUUCGGGUUGUAAGCCUCUUUCAGUAGGGACGAAGCGAAAGUGACGGUACCUACAGAAGAAGGACCGGCCAACUACGUGCCAGCAGCCGCGGUAAUACGUAGGGUCCGAGCGUUGUCCGGAAUUACUGGGCGUAAAGAGCUCGUAGGUGGUUUGUCGCGUUGUUCGUGAAAACUCACAGCUUAACUGUGGGCGUGCGGGCGAUACGGGCAGACUAGAGUACUGCAGGGGAGACUGGAAUUCCUGGUGUAGCGGCGGAAUGCGCAGAUAUCAGGAGGAACACCGGUGGCGAAGGCGGGUCUCUGGGCAGUAACUGACGCUGAGGAGCGAAAGCGUGGGUAGCGAACAGGAUUAGAUACCCUGGUAGUCCACGCCGUAAACGGUGGGUACUAGGUGUGGGUUUCCUUCCUUGGGAUCCGUGCCGUAGCUAACGCAUUAAGUACCCCGCCUGGGGAGUACGGUCGCAAGACUAAAACUCAAAGGAAUUGACGGGGGCCCGCACAAGCGGCGGAGCAUGUGGAUUAAUUCGAUGCAACGCGAAGAACCUUACCUGGGUUUGACAUGCACAGGACGUAUCUAGAGAUAGGUAUUCCCUUGUGGCCUGUGUGCAGGUGGUGCAUGGCUGUCGUCAGCUCGUGUCGUGAGAUGUUGGGUUAAGUCCCGCAACGAGCGCAACCCUUGUCCUAUGUUGCCAGCGGGUAAUGCCGGGGACUCGUAGGAGACUGCCGGGGUCAACUCGGAGGAAGGUGGGGAUGACGUCAAGUCAUCAUGCCCCUUAUGUCCAGGGCUUCACACAUGCUACAAUGGCCAGUACAGAGGGCUGCGAAGCCGUAAGGUGGAGCGAAUCCCUUAAAGCUGGUCUCAGUUCGGAUUGGGGUCUGCAACUCGACCCCAUGAAGUCGGAGUCGCUAGUAAUCGCAGAUCAGCAACGCUGCGGUGAAUACGUUCCCGGGCCU
This 1337-nucleotide ribosomal RNA is filed under the name uncultured bacterium. RNAcentral's name for it is "bacterial SSU rRNA". It matches the Rfam family "Bacterial small subunit ribosomal RNA", at positions 28 to 1381 of the family's 1533-position model. The record is from RNAcentral.